Drosophila simulans is the source of this 1276-nucleotide long non-coding RNA. RefSeq lists it as uncharacterized. NCBI's taxonomy places the organism in Eukaryota, Metazoa, Arthropoda, Insecta, Diptera, Drosophilidae. The record is from RefSeq and is a predicted model, not a curated record. The transcript has 3 exons.
AUAUUGUAUUACGUUUUUUUUUCGAGUGCUGGGCUGGGCCAAAACGUUUUCAUUAAAAUUGCUGCCUUGGCCAAUCUGCGGGCCACGCACAACAAGAGCAGCAGGAAAAUAAAACUAAAAACAAAAAAAAUAAAAAAAUACUCGGAGCUUGCUCCGUAAAAUUGCAAUUUGGCUGGCGAACGAAACGGAGUGGGACAAUUAUAAGCAUGACAAAUGAAUUUCGCAUUGGGGCCGGUGUUCUGAAUUCCCUGCCCAUGCGCAUGCCCAUGCCCAAGUUCCCAGGAAAAACUGUCAGUGGAGGAUCAGUGGCGUUGAGACAGAUCCGAAAGAUCGGAGGUUCAGAGGAUCGGGUCGCAGAUGUUGCCGCUGGGCACACACCUUCAACUCGUUGAGAGAGUUUUUUGCAUCUCCGGCUCGUUCCGUUCCGUUUCGUUUCGUUACAGUUCGUGCGUGUUGCGUUUUAUAUGAAUAAUUGCAUCAAGAUUUCUGCCAACUCUUUUGCGGUCGUCUGUGGCAGCUGCCCCAACGACCCAACUGCCCAACUGCACUGGACACAUCAUCUCUGUGGCCGUUCAAGCGGGGCCACCCGCCCCCUUAUCAUCACACAAUAUCCUUUGGCAUGUCGACGCUUUUUGCAUCUUUCAUGACGAAAGCAUUUCAUGUUUUUGUUACCCGCCCUUUUUUUCGUUGAAGUCUUCACAUCAACCCAUUUUGCAACCAGCCAUGGCCGUCUUCACACAGAAACACGCACAUUUUUGGCAUUCAUAAAAUGUUGCAACGAAACCAGCAAACCAGAAGCAACAAAAAAAAAAGGAAAGGACACAAACGGGACAUGAAAUUGUUUUGCACAUAACAGCAAGCAAACAAACAUGAAAAGGGAUAUGGAUGCGGAUAAACGAAUAUGAUUGCCGCGGCAUGUAAAAAAAGCAGAACUGAAAUACUCUUGCCGCUUAAAACAAACAGGCAUAAAAAAAAAAUGAAACAGCCAAAGGAGCACGAACUGGGCAUUUUGUUUGGUUUUUUUUAUUAUUAUUAUUAUUCUCGCCCUUUGAAAGUAAAUUUGAAAAAAUAUUUUGAUAAAACCAAAAUGUUAUUUGUCUCGUUAAUGUAAUGAAAACGACUUGCUAAAAGGAUUAAAUUUGCAUUGCAUUUAAGCGAAAAUUGUGGGCGUGCAAUUAUUUCGGGUGCAAUAUUUCGGUUGUGGGUUUCAAAAAUUUUGGCACAGAUUAUACUUUAAACUAGGUUUAAAUGUUCUAUGUGAUAUGGUUUUGAUAUU